CAACCCUCAAGCCUGGCUUGGUGAUGGGGCACUGCUUCUUACCCAAGGAGCAGGCCCUGAAAUUCAGUGGCGAGCUCGCCAGGACCCCGAGCGCAGUAGUUAAACCCUCGCUCUGGAAGGCCCUGGCGGUGCCCUGCCGUUAAACCCCCAACUUCUGAAAAU
RNAcentral lists this unclassified non-coding RNA (162 nucleotides) under Diaporthe rudis. Its description in RNAcentral is "ITS2". The record is from RNAcentral. Lineage: Eukaryota; Fungi; Ascomycota; Sordariomycetes; Diaporthales; Diaporthaceae.